This 301-nucleotide ribosomal RNA is filed under the name uncultured bacterium. Its description in RNAcentral is "partial 16S ribosomal RNA". It matches the Rfam family "Bacterial small subunit ribosomal RNA", at positions 509 to 807 of the family's 1533-position model. The record is from RNAcentral.
CAGUCGCCGCGGUAAAACGAAGGGGGCUAGCGUUGUUCGGAUUUACUGGGCGUAAAGCGCACGUAGGCGGACUUUUAAGUCAGGGGUGAAAUCCCGGGGCUCAACCCCGGAACUGCCUUUGAUACUGGAAGUCUUGAGUAUGGUAGAGGUGAGUGGAAUUCCGAGUGUAGAGGUGAAAUUCGUAGAUAUUCGGAGGAACACCAGUGGCGAAGGCGGCUCACUGGACCAUUACUGACGCUGAGGUGCGAAAGCGUGGGGAGCAAACAGGAUUAGAUACCCCAGUAGUCCCUGUCUCUUAUAC